GACGAACGCUGGCGGCGUGCUUAACACAUGCAAGUCGAACGGAAAGGCCUUUUCGGAGGUACUCGAGUGGCGAACGGGUGAGUAACACGUGGGUGAUCUGCCCUGCACUCUGGGAUAAGCCUGGGAAACUGGGUCUAAUACCGGAUAGGACCGCACUUUAGUGUGUGUGGUGGAAAGUUUUUUCGGUGUAGGAUGAGCCCGCGGCCUAUCAGCUUGUUGGUGGGGUAAUGGCCUACCAAGGCGGCGACGGGUAGCCGGACUGAGAGGUUGGUCGGCAACAUUGGGACUGAGAUACGGCCCAGACUCCUACGGGAGGCAGCAGUGGGGAAUAUUGCAAAAUGGGCGCAAGCCUGAUGCAGCGACGCCGCGUGGGGGAUGACGGCCUUCGGGUUGUAAACUCCUUUCGCCAGGGACGAAGCGUUUUGUGACGGUACCUGGAGAAGAAGCACCGGCUAACUACGUG
RNAcentral lists this ribosomal RNA (463 nucleotides) under uncultured bacterium. RNAcentral's name for it is "partial 16S ribosomal RNA". It matches the Rfam family "Bacterial small subunit ribosomal RNA", at positions 28 to 507 of the family's 1533-position model. The record is from RNAcentral.